AAUGAACGCUGGCGGCGUGCCUAAUACAUGCAAGUCGAGCGAACAGAUAAGGAGCUUGCUCCUUUGACGUUAGCGGCGGACGGGUGAGUAACACGUGGGUAACCUACCUAUAAGACUGGGAUAACUUCGGGAAACCGGAGCUAAUACCGGAUAACAUUUGGAACCGCAUGGUUCUAAAGUGAAAGAUGGUUUUGCUAUCACUUAUAGAUGGACCCGCGCCGUAUUAGCUAGUUGGUAAGGUAACGGCUUACCAAGGCGACGAUACGUAGCCGACCUGAGAGGGUGAUCGGCCACACUGGAACUGAGACACGGUCCAGACUCCUACGGGAGGCAGCAGUAGGGAAUCUUCCGCAAUGGGCGAAAGCCUGACGGAGCAACGCCGCGUGAGUGAUGAAGGGUUUCGGCUCGUAAAACUCUGUUAUUAGGGAAGAACAAAUGUGUAAGUAACUGUGCACGUCUUGACGGUACCUAAUCAGAAAGCCACGGCUAACUACGUG
This 497-nucleotide ribosomal RNA is filed under the name uncultured bacterium. RNAcentral describes it as "partial 16S ribosomal RNA". It matches the Rfam family "Bacterial small subunit ribosomal RNA", at positions 29 to 507 of the family's 1533-position model. The record is from RNAcentral.